RNAcentral lists this ribosomal RNA (751 nucleotides) under uncultured bacterium. RNAcentral describes it as "bacterial SSU rRNA". It matches the Rfam family "Bacterial small subunit ribosomal RNA", at positions 28 to 776 of the family's 1533-position model. The record is from RNAcentral.
GAUGAACGCUGGCGGCGUACCUAACACAUGCAAGUCGAACGGACAUUUUUUGGAAAGCUCUUCGGAACUGGAAUCUAAAUGUUAGUGGCGGACGGGUGAGUAACGCGUGAGCAAUCUGCCUUUCAGAGGGGGAUAACAGCCGGAAACGGCUGCUAAUACCGCAUAAUGCAUUGGAUUCGCAUGUUUCUGAUGCCAAAGAUUUUAUCGCUGAAAGAUGAGCUCGCGUCUGAUUAGCUAGUUGGCGGGGUAACGGCCCACCAAGGCGACGAUCAGUAGCCGGACUGAGAGGUUGAACGGCCACAUUGGGACUGAGACACGGCCCAGACUCCUACGGGAGGCAGCAGUGGGGAAUAUUGCGCAAUGGGGGCAACCCUGACGCAGCAACGCCGCGUGAUUGAUGAAGGUCUUCGGAUUGUAAAAAUCUUUAAUCAGGGACGAAGAAAAUGACGGUACCUGAAGAAUAAGCUCCGGCUAACUACGUGCCAGCAGCCGCGGUAAUACGUAGGGAGCAAGCGUUAUCCGGAUUUACUGGGUGUAAAGGGCGUGUAGGCGGGCUUGCAAGUUGGAAGUGAAAUCUCGGGGCUUAACCCCGAAACUGCUUUCAAAACUGCGAGUCUUGAGUGAUGGAGAGGCAGGCGGAAUUCCCAGUGUAGCGGUGAAAUGCGUAGAUAUUGGGAGGAACACCAGUGGCGAAGGCGGCCUGCUGGACAUUAACUGACGCUGAGGCGCGAAAGCGUGNGGAGCAAACAGG